RNAcentral lists this ribosomal RNA (455 nucleotides) under uncultured Prevotella sp. RNAcentral describes it as "bacterial SSU rRNA". It matches the Rfam family "Bacterial small subunit ribosomal RNA", at positions 341 to 792 of the family's 1533-position model. Lineage: Bacteria; Pseudomonadati; Bacteroidota; Bacteroidia; Bacteroidales; Prevotellaceae. The record is from RNAcentral.
ACGGGAGGCAGCAGUGAGGAAUAUUGGUCAAUGGGCGAGAGCCUGAACCAGCCAAGUAGCGUGCAGGAUGACGGCCCUAUGGGUUGUAAACUGCUUUUUAUGUGAGAAUAAAAAGGGUCACGUGUGGCUCAUUGCAUGUAUCACAUGAAUAAGGACCGGCUAAUUCCGUGCCAGCAGCCGCGGUAAUACGGAAGGUCCGGGCGUUAUCCGGAUUUAUUGGGUUUAAAGGGAGCGUAGGCGGCCUUUUAAGCGUGAUGUGAAAUGUCGCGGCUCAACCGUGGCACUGCAGCGCGAACUGGAGGGCUUGAGUGCGCCGGAAGUAGGCGGAAUUCGUUGUGUAGCGGUGAAAUGCUUAGAUAUGACGAAGAACUCCGAUUGCGAAGGCAGCUUACUGUCGCGUAACUGACGCUGAAGCUCGAAAGUGCGGGUAUCGAACAGGAUUAGAUACCCUGGUA